AAAUCGAUCACACUAACACAAAUUGAGUGAGCCUAUGGCUUUGCAGUUUGUUUAUUAUAGGCCUACUGAAAUGAGAUUUUCUUAUUCAAACAGGGAUAGCAGGUCCAUUCUAUGUGUCAUACUUGAUCAUUUCGCGAUAUUGCCAUAUUUUUGCUGAAAGGAUUUAGUAGAGAACAUCGACGAUGAAGUUCGCAACUUUUGGUCGCUAAUAAAAAAGCCUUGCCUUUACCGGAAGUCGCAGACGAUGUGCGCGUGACGUCACGGGUUGUAUGGCUCCUCACAUCCUCACAUUGUUUAAAAUGCGAGCCUCAAGCAGCAAAAGCUAUUCGGACCGAGAAAGCGACAAUUUCCCCAUUAAUUUGAGCAAGCAUGAAAGAUUUGUGGAUGAAGAAAUUUAGAGUGAAGGACUAGAAAAAAAAAAGGCGAUUGCAGUGGAAGCGAUUCAGAUGUUAUUAGACACAUUUACUAGGAUAAUUCUGGAAAAUCCCUUAUCUGCCUAUUGUGUUGCUAAUGUUUUAGUGAGAUCAAAUAGUACCUGAAAGUCGGAGGGGUGUGGCCACGGGUGUGUUGACCGCGACUGUCUCUGAGGAAGUCACGCAGCUGCAGCAGGACGGAAGCUCCGCUGAUGUCUCCGCCGCCGAACGGGCAGCAGUGCCGCUUCUCCGCGGACUGAUCCCCUGUCCUCCUUUUCCGCCGGUUCGGUCCGGGUCCCGCCGCGGCGUCUGCCUCCGCCGCGGCCGACCGGCGAACGACCCUCUCGGCCGGCUUCUCCUCGUCGUCCGCCGCGCUCACCACCACGCCGGCGGGGCGGCAUUUGUUCAAGUCCAGCAAAAUCAUCGCCACCAUCAGCAAAGUUCGGCUCUCCUGGUUCUCUUUCGGGAGCGGAGCCCCGUCCGCGGAGACGAGCUCGGACAUGAUACGGAGGCUUCGACAGUAACAACAACAACACGUCCGGCGGCUAAGCGAUUGUAUCCAUCUGUGUCUCCACGUGUGUCAACUUGUCCUCUUUUUUUUUCCACUUCUGUCCUCGCUCUCCCAAGAAACGAUUUCGCGGAAUCCCACGGCGUCAUCGUGGAUCGGAGCGCUCAUUGGGCAGCAAGGAAACGUGACGAGAUACGUGCGGUCCCGUGUGUGUGUGUUUUUUUAUUUUUUUCCCGAAGUACACGGAAGUGAGCGACGAGCCUUCUGACCAAUCAAAAGACGAGGUUGGAGGGUAAAAAGUGGGCCGGGCUUUGCUGGUGAUGCAUUCAAGGACAAACGUUGACUGGUAUUUUUUUUUUUUAGUUAAGUCUUUAUUUGAAGGGACAAUGCACAGAGACAUUGAACUCAAGGACAGAUAUAAUAAUAAUAAUCAAUCAAUCAAUCAAUGUUUACUUAUAUAGCCCUAAAUCACUAGUGUUUCAAAGGGCUGCACAAACCACUACGACAUCCUCGGUAGGCCCACAUAAGGGCAAGGAAAACUCACACCCAGUGGGACGUCGGUGACAAUGAUGACUAUGAGAACCUUGGAGAGGAGGAAAGCAAUGGAUGUCAAGCGGGUCUAACAUGAUACUGUGAAAGUUCAAUCCAUAAUGGAUCCAACACAGUCGCAAGAGUCCAGUCCAAAGCGGAUCCAACACAGCAGCGAGAGUCCCGUUCACAGCGGAGCCAGCAGGAAAACAUCCCAAGCGGAGGCGGAUCAGCAGCGCAGAGAUGUCCCCAGCUGAUACACGGCGAGCAGUACAUGGCCACCGGAUCGGACAGGACCCCCUCCACAAGGGAGAGUGGGACAUAGGAAAAAAGAAAAGAAACGGCAGAUCAACUGGUCUAAAAAGGGAGUCUAUUUAAAGGCGAGAGUAUACAAAUGAGUUUUAAGGUGAGACUUAAAUGCUUCUACUGAGGUGGCAUCUCGAACUUUUACCGGGAGGGCAUUCCAGAGUACUGGAGCCCGAAAUGAAAACGCUCUAUAGCCCACAGACUUUUUUUGGGUUUUGGGAAUCACUAAUCACUAAUCCUUUGAACGCAGAUUUCUUGCCGGGACAUAUGGUACAAUACAAUCGGCAAGAUAGGAUGGAGCUACACCGUGUAGUAUUUUAUACGUAAGUAGUAAAACCUUAAAGUCACAUCUUAAGUGCACAGGAAGCCAGUGCAGGUGAGCCAGUACAGGCGUAAUGUGAUCAAACUUUCUUGUUCUUGUCAAAAGUCUAGCAGCCGCAUUUUGUACCAACUGUAAUGUUUUAAUGCUAGACAUGGGGAGACCCGAAAAUAGUAUGUUAAUAAUGUACGUAAUAAUGAUAAUAAUAAUAAUAAUAACUUAGAUUUAUAUCGCGCUUUUCUAAACACUCAAAGCGCUCACAGAGAUACGGGACUCAACAUUUAUUCACACCUGGUGGUGGUAAGCUGCCCUGGGGUAGACUGACGGAAGCGUGGCUGCCAGUUUGCGCCUACGGCCCCUUUGACCACCACCUAUCAUCCAUUCAUCAUUCAUUCACUGUUUGUUUGUAAAUGUUGAAAAUUAUAAAUAAAAGUUAAAAACAAAAAAAAA
Nerophis ophidion (straightnose pipefish) is the source of this 2524-nucleotide long non-coding RNA. RefSeq lists it as uncharacterized. The transcript has 3 exons. The record is from RefSeq and is a predicted model, not a curated record. Lineage: Eukaryota; Metazoa; Chordata; Actinopteri; Syngnathiformes; Syngnathidae.